RNAcentral lists this long non-coding RNA (4034 nucleotides) under Danio rerio (zebrafish). RNAcentral describes it as "lncRNA (ENSDARG00000117663.1)". Lineage: Eukaryota; Metazoa; Chordata; Actinopteri; Cypriniformes; Danionidae. The record is from RNAcentral.
AUGUUUUCAGCUGAUAUUUUUCAUUUUAAAUUAUUUAUUAAAGUUGGGGUCAUUGUAUGUGGCGAUCUAUUUUUUACAGUCUAUGCUCGCUAUCCCAAGGUUCAUUGCGAUCCCAAGGUUCACUGCGGUUUUCCACAAGAUGCAGAAACUUUUGACAUAUGAAUUCAUUUUGACUAAGGGUAAUGUUUUUGUUCAGAAUUAAUCAUUAUAUAAAAAUCAUUGUAUUUUCUUUGAUAUUAUGUACAGAUUUUAAAAGAAUGUACUUUCUUUUAAUAAAGAACUCUUCACAGCACUGCAGCUAAACAGUCACAACCUCACAGAGCUGCACAACUGCCCCACUCAGAUCAGUGUUGAAGCUGGAACCUCAUCUUGUGUACAGCAAAGGCAGAGCUGAAAAUUCACUGUUUGUCUUGUAUUGUGUGGUAAGUCAUCGUUUUAUUAAUUUUUUUAUUUUAUUGCAACACUAAGUUGUCCAUUCUGUGGCCAAUAUGAUAUAAAGGGCCUAAAAUGGGACUGACGUGAUCAUUGUUUUGAUUUCUAGAUAAGUACUCAUGGGGCUACACAUGCAGCUGAAGUUAGCUUCAUUGAGUAGGACAUUUCUUUCAGUAUACUCUUAAAGAGAUUCACCCAAAAAUGAAAAUUCUGUCAUUAUUGACUCAUCCUUCACUUGUUCCAAAUAUGUCUGACUUGCUUACUUCAGUUAAACACAAAAAAAUUAUAUUUUAAAGAAAGAUGAAAACCUGCAAACAUUAACUUCCAUAGUAUUUGUUUUUUCCUACUAUGUAUGUCAAUGUUUUCAGCUUUCCAGCUUUCUUCAAAAAACUUCCUUCAUGUUCAACACAAAGUAACUUGGAAGUUUUUAAAAAAGGUUUACAACCACUUAAAGGAGAGUAAAUAGUGAACUGUUCCUUUAACCCAAUCUAGUUGACUUUACUAGAAAAUUGUAUAGAAACCCAGUGGCUUAAACCCCUUACAUUUUAUACAAGGUACAACUUAACAGCCAAACUUGAAUUAAAAUGUUACUGUAAGUUCAAGAAGAUUGUAAAGGUUCUAGGUUAAUUUAAAGUGGGCUGUUUAGUUUCACCUUGUGUAAAAACAUAAAGGAUUUAAGGCAACAUGUUUCUAUGCAGUUUUCUAAUAAAGUCAACUAGUUUGGGUUAAGAGUGUAAUGGGUUACAGUAAUAGCAGUGAAUCAUGCAGGCAUAAAAUAAAUGUUUAGCCAUGUAAAGCAAUAAGCUUGUUAUAAUUUAGAAAUAUUUUAGGGUGAAGCACAGUAUGCUGUUGUAGUUUUCAUAUAAUUGAUGAGUCAAACAUGAGAUGUGUUUUAAAUUGCAAGACGUGAAUUAACAAUAUGUUCAUCAAGAUUCAAAUCUUGCAUCUUAUAUUUUUUAAGGUUUUGGCCCAAUAAUACCCAUAUUCUGCUAUUUAAAAAAUCAUGCUGGAAUUUGUGUCAGCAUUCCCUUCAAUGAAAACUACAACAGUGGACAUCAGUGGUGAUAAAAAUGUAUGUGAAGGAUAAGGGUGUUCAUAAUGAGAAGUGCAGUUACUAUCCUGAUCUCUGAGUUUGUAGAACUGACAGAUCUGCUUGGAAUAAAUGGAAACAUGCUGGAAAUGUUUAACCUAUUAUACAGUUAAUUCAAGAGUGCCAGGUUUAAUGACACUUUACAUAUAUAAAUAAAUAUCACUGAACUUUCUAAAUGAAACCUAACGCUCAUUCUUUGUUCAGUAAUGAUAUUGUGCACUUCUAAUACUUUACAGUGGCAAAACCUGGAAUAACACAUGGGAGCCCUCCAGGAAUUCCUGACACUUUACGCCCAAGUCUCCUCAUGCUAACCGGAUUGCAAUAUGACAGUCUAAUCAGCAUAAACACCUGGACUCACCAAGCACACUUUGGUUCUCAGUGUUUUGUAAAAAUAGUUUUUGCUAUUCUUCAGUAAAUACUUGAAUAUGUUUUGAACUUAUUCUACUUUUGAUGUUUAAGUUCAGAAAGUUGUUAUUAUAAACAUAAUUUGCAUUUGUCAUGAACUUGACUUCUUGUUAUUGUGAAAGCUGUUUAUUAUGAUGGCAUUUCCAAAGGCAUCAUUUGAAAAGAUUUUUUGCAGUGCAGUUUUACUUGAGCUUGACAUACCAGAUGUAUGACAUGAAUAAAUAUCACAAAAUAAAUAUAAUAAUAAUAAUACAAAAUAUACAUUUCCUUCAAUUAUAAUUGUUUUUAAUCAUUUAUAUAUGUAUGGUAAUAUAUUAUUGCAUUAAAAACUUAUAAAAUAUAUAUUUUUGGUUAAAAUAUAUAUUUUUGCAUUUUUGUGUGAUUUUUAUUAUUUAUUUUUAUUUGUGGCAUUAUAAAUAAAUUAUAAAUGUUUCAUUAAAAAUUUAUUGUGUUUAUUUGCAUUCUCGUUUACAAUGAACUACUAUUUAUACUAUUUAAUGGGCACUAUAUUUGUCAUUUAAGUUUGACAUAUAUUUAUAUUUGUAUACCUACAUGAUGCAGGGUUUAGUUGCAGCAAAUGCUUGAAAUGUUUUCAAACAUGAAGCUUUUUUAUUAUUUUAUUAUUCGUUUCAAAUUAAGUAUACUGCCUAUGAUCUGGUUUUACUAUGAUCAUUUUGCACAUCAGGUUACCCCCACAAAGUAAUCUCACGGUAAAUAUACAUUUGUAUUUUUAAUAAGACAAUAAAUAACAUGUAAUAUUAAUACACAUUUUGAUAUUUAAGUUAUAUUAUAAGGUUAUAAUCAACCUUCAGCCGGAAGAUUACCAAAUAGAGACAAAGUGUGACGUAGAUUGCGACGUUGUGAUUGGACUAUAACUUCAAAGCCAAAUUAAAAGAUCCUUCGUGUUGCUAACUAUGUUUUGCUAACUUUGCCACUUUACUAACAGUGUCCUUUAUCAAUGAGUUAUCGCUGUGUUUUAAAUAGUUAACGAUUAACCAAGAUCGUAACCCUAAACUUAACCCUAACUACACCUUUCAAGGAACUACAAUUUGUAGCGCCAUGUCUUUCCCCUCCCAUCUCUACAGCGACAAAGGAUUGUGGGUAAUGUAGUUUAAGGCCUUUUUGUAAUAAAAUGGAACAGAUACAAAUUUUAAUGAACUAAAGACUAUCUGAAUAAGGUCAUUGUGCAUAUAUUUAUGACAUAUAUGAAAGCCAGGCAUAAAUUUGUUAUUUUACAAUGAGUAUUUUUUAAACAGCUUUUAUUGACUUGAUCAGUAUAUAUCAGACUAUUAUAUCCAACAUUAUUUAUUGAACAUAGCAUAGGUAAUAGUCUUGCUGAUAUUCUCUCACUCAUUUCUCGUUUGAAAUGUGAAUACUUUUUCCUUUUCUACGGGGCUCUACUCAUCCCCUUUGAGUAAAAGGGCAGUUAACCUAUGUAGAUGUAUUAUCUUCAACAUGGACAAGAAAUUGUAUUGUCACAUGUACAGUUGUGGUAAAAAAAAAAAAAAAGCUGUAAAAAUAAGCUAAACAUUAGUAUCCUCUUUAAUUACAAGUUAUUAGCAAUAGUGAUCUAUGUUCAUCACAAAUGUUAUGAGUUCAGAAUAAUAUGUGUGGAUGUAAUUCUGUAAGUGUGUUUCAUUAAUGGUCAUCAUGUGAUAUUUAAUUGUUUUCACUUUAUUUGAAAUAUGGAUAAAAGCUCUUUUAAAAUAUGUAAAUGUUUAUAAAUAAAACCUUUUUAAAGACAUGUAUUUGUUUAAAAACCACUCUUUUUCUGAUUAUUUUUACUUUCUAAAUCUUCAACUGUUUGUGUAACAGUAUGAUUUGAUGACAAUGGAUGAACUUGUGUUUAAUAAUGAUUCCACAUAAUGUCUUUGUCCUGCAUGUGGGUUAAUUUGUUAAUUAUUUUCUUUAUGAUCAAAUGGUUGUAAGAUUUGCUGCAUUGUAAGAAUCAUGAAAAUAUUGAGAAAUGAGGUAACAAUGAUGAAAAGAUAUCUUUUCAAAUGCUGCGAAUAGUUCAAACCUCCAAAUGAUUAAAAAUACAUAGCCAUUAACCAACAAAAUAAAAAUGCAAACAUUUAAAUUAUCUAAACUAGAAGUAAAAUAGUUC